RNAcentral lists this ribosomal RNA (497 nucleotides) under uncultured Roseateles sp. RNAcentral describes it as "bacterial SSU rRNA". It matches the Rfam family "Bacterial small subunit ribosomal RNA", at positions 8 to 507 of the family's 1533-position model. The record is from RNAcentral. Lineage: Bacteria; Pseudomonadati; Pseudomonadota; Betaproteobacteria; Burkholderiales; Sphaerotilaceae.
AGAGUUUUGAUCCUGGCUCAGAUUGAACGCUGGCGGCAUGCCUUACACAUGCAAGUCGAACGGUAACAGGUUAAGCUGACGAGUGGCGAACGGGUGAGUAAUGUAUCGGAACGUGCCCAGUCUGGGGGAUAACUGCUCGAAAGAGCAGCUAAUACCGCAUACGACCUGAGGGUGAAAGCGGGGGAUCGCAAGACCUCGCGCGAUUGGAGCGGCCGAUAUCAGAUUAGGUAGUUGGUGAGGUAAAGGCUCACCAAGCCGACGAUCUGUAGCUGGUCUGAGAGGACGACCAGCCACACUGGGACUGAGACACGGCCCAGACUCCUACGGGAGGCAGCAGUGGGGAAUUUUGGACAAUGGGCGCAAGCCUGAUCCAGCCAUGCCGCGUGCGGGAAGAAGGCCUUCGGGUUGUAAACCGCUUUUGUCAGGGAAGAAAAGGUUCUGGCUAAUACCCGGGACUCAUGACGGUACCUGAAGAAUAAGCACCGGCUAACUACGUG